This 72-nucleotide transfer RNA is filed under the name Urocitellus parryii (Arctic ground squirrel). RNAcentral describes it as "Spermophilus parryii (Arctic ground squirrel) tRNA". It matches the Rfam family "tRNA". Rfam says of the family: Transfer RNA (tRNA) molecules are approximately 80 nucleotides in length. Their secondary structure includes four short double-helical elements and three loops (D, anti-codon, and T loops). Further hydrogen bonds mediate the characteristic L-shaped molecular structure. tRNAs have two regions of fundamental functional importance: the anti-codon, which is responsible for specific mRNA codon recognition, and the 3' end, to which the tRNAs corresponding amino acid is attached (by aminoacyl-tRNA synthetases). tRNAs cope with the degeneracy of the genetic code in two manners: having more than one tRNA (with a specific anti-codon) for a particular amino acid; and 'wobble' base-pairing, i.e. permitting non-standard base-pairing at the 3rd anti-codon position. The record is from Rfam by way of RNAcentral. Lineage: Eukaryota; Metazoa; Chordata; Mammalia; Rodentia; Sciuridae. RNAcentral also lists the same sequence under 2 other names.
GGGAGUGUGACUCAGUGGUAGAGCACUUGCCUAGAAUGCACCAGGCCCUGGAUUUGAUCUCCAGCACCACUG